GCGGACGGGUGAGUAAUGUCUGGGAAACUGCCUGAUGGAGGGGGAUAACUACUGGAAACGGUAGCUAAUACCGCAUAACGUCGCAAGACCAAAGAGGGGGACCUUCGGGCCUCUUGCCAUCGGAUGUGCCCAGAUGGGAUUAGCUAGUAGGUGGGGUAACGGCUCACCUAGGCGACGAUCCCUAGCUGGUCUGAGAGGAUGACCAGCCACACUGGAACUGAGACACGGUCCAGACUCCUACGGGAGGCAGCAGUGGGGAAUAUUGCACAAUGGGCGCAAGCCUGAUGCAGCCAUGCCGCGUGUAUGAAGAAGGCCUUCGGGUUGUAAAGUACUUUCAGCGGGGAGGAAGGGAGUAAAGUUAAUACCUUUGCUCAUUGACGUUACCCGCAGAAGAAGCACCGGCUAACUCCGUGCCAGCAGCCGCGGUAAUACGGAG
This 436-nucleotide ribosomal RNA is filed under the name uncultured Escherichia sp. Its description in RNAcentral is "bacterial SSU rRNA". It matches the Rfam family "Bacterial small subunit ribosomal RNA", at positions 98 to 530 of the family's 1533-position model. Lineage: Bacteria; Pseudomonadati; Pseudomonadota; Gammaproteobacteria; Enterobacterales; Enterobacteriaceae. The record is from RNAcentral.